AACGCACAUUGCGCCCGCCAGCACUCUGGCGGGCAUGCCUGUCCGAGCGUCAUUUACUACCCUCGGGCCCCCCAGGGGGCCCGGUGAUGGGGUCCGGCCCCGGCCGCCCCCGAAAUGCAGUGGCGAUCCCGCCGCGUCCUCCCCUGCGCAGUAGCACAAUCUCGCACCGGAAGCGCGGAGGCGGUCACGCCCGUAAAACGCCCCAACUCAACAGUUGACCUCGGAUCAGGUAGGAGUACCCGCUGAACUUAA
RNAcentral lists this unclassified non-coding RNA (252 nucleotides) under uncultured Ophiocordycipitaceae. RNAcentral's name for it is "sequence contains ITS2". Lineage: Eukaryota; Fungi; Ascomycota; Sordariomycetes; Hypocreales. The record is from RNAcentral.